AUGAAAGGAAGUUCUGCUAAGAGCACUCGCGUCCAUGCGAGAACGCAGAACGACUUACAUCCUAUAAG
Molecule: non-coding RNA, 68 nt
Organism: Brevibacillus sp. CF112
Lineage: Bacteria; Bacillati; Bacillota; Bacilli; Caryophanales; Paenibacillaceae
Source: Rfam